UACGGGGGGGGCAAGCGUUGUUCGGAAUUACUGGGCGUAAAGGGCUCGUAGGCGGCCAACUAAGUCGGACGUGAAAUCCCCAGGCUCAACCUGGGAACUGCAUCCGAUACUGGAUGGCUUGAAUUCGGGAGAGGGAUGCAGAAUUCCAGGUGUAGCGGUGAAAUGCGUAGAUAUCUGGAGGAAUACCGGUGGCGAAGGCGGCAUCCCGGACCGACAUUGACGCUGAGGAGCGAAAGCCAGGGGAGCAAACGGG
Molecule: ribosomal RNA, 253 nt
Filed under: uncultured bacterium
Lineage: Bacteria
Description: partial 16S ribosomal RNA
Rfam family: Bacterial small subunit ribosomal RNA
Source: RNAcentral